UGUUGUUAUGGCAACAGUGUUUCUAUCAAGAGAUUCAUAUGAACUACUAAACCCUUCUUGCACUUUUACCUGUUUUGGCAAUCUCAAGGGUCGGACAAAGACACUUCCACAGCAGCCUCCUUGCAACUUUUGAUUGCCAUGGAUAAGUGGAACUGGUAUCGAGUUCAUGUGUAACUCACUGCCAAGGGCUGUAUUUCCAUUUCCUUCUGCACACUGAAUUUGUGCUCCUGCAUUCCUCUAACAAGAGCCUCUGAAGGGAGGAGAUGCUUUGCUUCAUGUCACAGGACGCGCAGCCACACACACACAGAAAAUUAAAAGAUGCUUUCACUAACGUGGCCAUUACUCUCUGGAAUUGUGUCCAGUAAGCCUCUGCUCCCACGGGACCUCCCGUACAGCCACACCGGAGAGGUAGCUGCUUCCAGAAGCUGUAUUGUUCUCCUGCAAAGCUGUUCUGUUCCUACUCUGUGCUUCUGCAGAUAGUCUACAUCUGAUGUAUGAAGUUUGGGAAGACUUUUAAAAGACUUUGGGCUAAAUACCAGAUCUGGAAACUAUGAGGUAAGAUCAGUCUUCUAGUGCUUAUGGGUGUGUUUACAUUAUCUCAUAAAAAUAGGUGCUGAUUUCAGGUGCUGUCUGUAUGUGCAGCUAUAAUAAGAUUUCAGUUUGGAUUUUCAUUGGUCAGUUAUAUUAUUUGAUGUUCAAGAUGAGCUCCAAAGAUUAAUUUCUCUCCAUCUCCCGCAUCUCACACUGAGAUCCAUUUUUUUAUUGUUUUUUUUUUUCCAGCUCAGUCUUCAGGUUAUUUGAUAAUGCAGCUGCUGGUAUUCGCUCCAUGAAACCAAUUGUCUUAUGAGUUAAGUGCCAUGAGGCCCUGUGCUGGCUGUUUUUAUAAUGACAGUUUUCCUGGGAAAAUAGCAGCACACUUAGACUCAGAUUCACAAAUGCAUGCAAUUCAGAGCUUUAUACUACACAGUCAUUUGCAAAGAGAACAAAACAAAACAAAACCAGCCCAG
RNAcentral lists this long non-coding RNA (1007 nucleotides) under Anas platyrhynchos platyrhynchos (common mallard). RNAcentral describes it as "lncRNA (ENSAPLG00000018152.1)". The record is from RNAcentral. Lineage: Eukaryota; Metazoa; Chordata; Aves; Anseriformes; Anatidae.